Molecule: long non-coding RNA, 1497 nt
Filed under: Calidris pugnax (ruff)
Lineage: Eukaryota; Metazoa; Chordata; Aves; Charadriiformes; Scolopacidae
Description: lncRNA (ENSCPUG00000009885.1)
Source: RNAcentral
CUCCCCCCUCCCCACCCCCCACCUUCGCCAGCCCUCCGCAACGAGACCCAAACGGGGGAGGAAAACGUGAAAUGUUCACAGGGAGAAGUGGUUCCCUUUGUUCUUUUCAUUGUUUCUACCCCGAAGUGGCGGAGACACGAGGACAAACGCUUACCUUCUCUCCUUUUUGCUCCGAAACACACACGUUCCCAUCAGCUGGAAAAUGCACGGUCCACCUUGGAAGCGGCUACAGACGUCGGGAGACGGAGGAGAUAAGGGAAUGCGCCUGGAGCUCCGGAUCAAAUCGCCGACUCUCCCCGGGUCACCGGGAUCCACACGGUCCUUGGAGAUGAGGAGCGCCAGAAGACUGUGGCCUGACCGUCCCUUACGUCACGAAAGUGAUUUGUACCACAUUGCUAAUUUGGUGCAAUUCAUAACCUCCCGAUCUCCUACGUUUGCAACUGCUUUUUCGGCUCGCAGGGUGUGUUUUUUUAAGAUGUAGCUCCCCAGCGCAGAAAUUAAGAGCAAUCACCUAUGUGCAGGAGAGCAUCUUAUUUCCCAAUGUUUGUUGCUUUACCUUUGUCUAAUUAAAAAUGCAAACUUUUAGGAUCCUUUCAGAACAAAGCCUCACCAAAUCCCCUUUACGUCCAAGGAUUUGCAAAUUUAUAAAGGCUGCAUUGAAUUCAGCAUGGGUCAAGGGGCAAAAAAAGGGUAGAAGGUCACUGCAUUUUGAUUAUGGGUCAGUAAACAACAUGGCAUGUAGUAUGUGUCCAGAAACUCCUGCUAAAAAGUAUUUUAAAACUACCUAACUCAAGAAAUAGCCUUAGCCCGUGGUGAUUAUAAAUUGCACAAAAUUCUAGUGCGCAAGUGACACCCCAGCCCCCAUGGUAAGAAAAAAAAAAACAACCACAACUUAAAAAGCACUUAGCAAAACUCUGCGCUGCUGCUUUGUUUACCAAAAAAAACCCCAACAAAAAACCACCCCAACCCCCAAAAAACAACCCUCCCCCCAAAAAACACCAAAAAACCCCGAACCAACCCAACCCUGAAACUCCCAGGCAUAAGAGUGUUAGCCAGAUUAGGAGUAUUUUUAUUUAUUUUUUUUUCCCAGACUGACGGUUGGCAUUUCUUUGUCCUACACAUUUAGAAGAUUUUGUCCUGUGUUGUGAUUUGUUGCCGUACUAGAAUUUACGGCAAAUUUUAGGUACAACCAACAGCUGACUUUAAAAUAGCAGAAGGAUCCUAUUAUACUGUUCUUUGACCCUAUUAUAUUUACGUUACUGGACUCUUUGUGAUAGCCUCUAGCUGCUUUCAGUGUCCUCCUUGAGCAAAACAUGCCCAGCGAUGUCUAAAAGCAGGGUGGAGGGUUAGAAAACAAGUUCUCAUUCGAAAUAUAUAUUUCUUCCCAGCGUCGUGAAAGCAAAAGGUUUAUUUAAUGCUUGUCAAUACCUGAAGACACGGUCCAGCACUUAACAAAUAAUAAUAAUAAUAAAUAAUAAUAAUAAUAAUACUCUAACA